Long non-coding RNA from Amphimedon queenslandica, 672 nucleotides. RefSeq lists it as uncharacterized. Lineage: Eukaryota; Metazoa; Porifera; Demospongiae; Haplosclerida; Niphatidae. The transcript is spliced from 3 exons. The record is from RefSeq and is a predicted model, not a curated record.
AUACACAUUAAAGGGACAUCAUGUCAUAGUAGAGAUAUUGCUUGAUAAAGGAGCAAAUAAAAUGAUACGUAACAAUGAGAACCAGUACCCGUACGACUUGGGAUCAAAGCAUCCUGAAGUUGGACGUCUUUUAAAGACUGUGUCUGGCAUCAACGGGGAUGAGUAUGGUGACAAAAACUAUUCCGAUUAAUUUUUUACUUUUAUUUUUAUUAUUAGUAUAUUUUGUGUUUGUAGUUCAUUAUCAUUUUUUGUAUCAUUAUUAUGUUUAUUGCAAAUAAAAUAACAGUUGUAGGAGUGUCUGAUAGAAUCAAUUUGAGUUAUAAACAAAGAUGAAUAUGAUAGAUCUACUUGUUCCUUUGAUGGUAACCUUCUUAUCUGUAGGUUUCACUGUGGCUCAAUGUCCUCCUGAUGUCGUCUCUUUUUUUAUUUUAAAUGAUAGAACCAUCCAUGUUCCAUUGACAGAGCCAUUAUGCCUUCAAUGUAGGUUCUUUACUAAUGAAGGCAACUUUUUUACCUUUUCUGAUGGUGUAUGGAGGAAGGGCAGUACUGUACUGAAUGAUGGGAACUUUAAUGGAAAUGUUAAUCUAUCAAGUACUUCUGAUACUAUGCGUAUGACCCUGGAGUAUCCUGAUGAUGUUGUUAAUGUUGGUGAUACUAUAACAUGCUCAUCAU